GGGCUUGACAUCCCACGAACCUGGAAACAGGGUCUCCCACUUCGGUGGGCUGGGUGACAGGUGCUGCAUGGCUGUCGUCAGCUCGUGUCGUGAGAUGUUGGGUUAAGUCCCGCAACAAGCGCAACCCUCACCCCUUGUUGCCAUCAGGUUUUGCUGGGCACUCUAGGGGAACUGCCCCGGUCAACGGGGAGGAAGGCGGGGACGACGUCAAGUCAUCAUGCCCCUUACGUCCUGGGCUACACACGUGCUACAAUGGCCGGUACAGAGGGAUGCUAGACCGCGAGGUGGAGCUAAACCCAAAAAGCCGGUCUAAGUUCAGAUUGGAGUCUGCAACUCGACUCCAUGAAGGAGGAAUCGCUAGUAAUCGCGUAUCAGCACGACGCGGUGAAUACGUUCCCGGGCCUUGUACACACCGCCCGUCACACCACGAAAGCCAGCUGUACUCGAAGUCGCUGAG
RNAcentral lists this ribosomal RNA (457 nucleotides) under uncultured bacterium. Its description in RNAcentral is "bacterial SSU rRNA". It matches the Rfam family "Bacterial small subunit ribosomal RNA", at positions 977 to 1434 of the family's 1533-position model. The record is from RNAcentral.